Molecule: unclassified non-coding RNA, 379 nt
Filed under: plant metagenome
Description: partial contains 5.8S ribosomal RNA, internal transcribed spacer 2, and large subunit ribosomal RNA
Rfam family: 5.8S ribosomal RNA (bases 1-106)
Source: RNAcentral
CGAACUGCGAUAAGUAAUGUGAAUUGCAGAAUUCAGUGAAUCAUCGAAUCUUUGAACGCACCUUGCGCUCCUUGGUAUUCCUUGGAGCAUGUCUGUUUGAGUAUCAUGAAAUCUUCAAAGUAAAUCUUUUGUUAACUCAAUUGGUUUCUACUUUGGUAUUGGAGGUCUUUGCAGCUUCACACCUGCUCCUCUUUGUUCAUUAGCUGGAUCUCAGUGUUAUGCUUGGUUCCACUCGGCGUGAUAAGUUAUCUAUCGCUGAGGACACUGUAAAAGGUGGCCAAGGUAAAUGCAGAUGAACCGCUUCUAAUAGUCCAUUGACUUGGACAAUACUUUUAUGAUCUGAUCUCAAAUCAGGUAGGACUACCCGCAGAACUUAAGC